UACGUAGGGCGCAAGCGUUGUCCGGAAUUAUUGGGCGUAAAGAGCUCGUAGGCGGUUUGUCGCGUCUGCUGUGAAAACUCAGGGCUUAACCCUGAGCCUGCAGUGGGUACGGGCAGACUAGAGUGUGGUAGGGGAGAUCGGAAUUCCUGGUGUAGCGGUGGAAUGCGCAGAUAUCAGGAGGAACACCGGUGGCGAAGGCGGAUCUCUGGGCCAUAACUGACGCUGAGGAGCGAAAGCAUGGGGAGCGAACAGG
Molecule: ribosomal RNA, 253 nt
Filed under: uncultured bacterium
Lineage: Bacteria
Description: partial 16S ribosomal RNA
Rfam family: Bacterial small subunit ribosomal RNA
Source: RNAcentral